Molecule: long non-coding RNA, 3180 nt
Organism: Ictalurus punctatus (channel catfish)
Lineage: Eukaryota; Metazoa; Chordata; Actinopteri; Siluriformes; Ictaluridae
Source: Ensembl
CGGUUCAGAAAUGGACUAGCAUAUAGUGUGGAUGAUAAUUAUAGCGUUGGUCUAAUACUUUAGUAGCAAAAGGACAGAUCGAUCCAUCCAUCCAUCCAUCUUCUAUACCGCUUACUCCUUUUCAGAGUCACGGGGAACCUGGAGCCGGUCCCAGGGAGCAUCAGGCACAAGGCGGGGUACACCCUGGGCAGGGUGCCAAUCCAUUGCAGGGCACAAUCACAUCAUACACAUUCACACACUACGGACACUUUGGACACGUCAAUCAGCCUACCAUGCAUGUCUUUGGACUGGGGGAGGAAACCGGAGUACCCGUUGGAAAUCCCCCUGGAGUACGGGGAGAACAUGCAAACUCUGCACACACAGGGCCAGGGUGGGAAUCAAACCCCCGACCCUGGAGGCGUGAAGCGGACGUGCUCAAAAGGACAGAUGUGAACUUUAAAUUUCCCCCUACAACCCCUGUUACAGAAAAUUAAUCAACACCUUCUCAAAUAAGAGAAUUCAACAACACUGUGGUACAAAUAGUUUUGUUUCCUUUUUGCUUUCUGUUCAUUUCAUGCGCACAAUAAAGUAUAAAGAAACCAUCCAAAUAUGAAUGUGUUAUUUGGAAUGAAAAGAUAAUGUGAUCACAUAUUUUUUUCUUUUUAAAGAAAGCUUGCCAGAUAGGUUCACAGGGCAUCUGGUUGAGGCUGGAGGAGCGCAUCGUGACUGGGAUCCAACAGGAUACAAGAAAAAGUUGGGAGUGGGAGGUUUUAACUUUCAUGUGGGUGAGUAGUCAGACAUAAAGCUCAGGGGGAAAAAAAGAAAGACAUUUCAGAUGUUAGAUUUUCAUAUUAAUUUAUUAAACUGAACUUAAACUAUACAUUUACAGCAUUCAUUGUUUUCAUUUAUAUCAAUACUGCUGGAAAAAGUGAACCAACUAAAUUAAUUAAUUAGAGAAUACUUCUGAGAAAAUAUUUUUUUUGAUUUGGUUACAUGCACACCCCACUUCCGGUUUUAAUACUGCUGUAUUUGAAUAUAGCUCUGACUACUAGCUAGGUCAGAAACUCAGGAUGGUCUCCUUGUACAUACACAAGUAUAUGCUUUGCAUUAAUCGACAUACAGACAUACAGUAUUAGCUUGUUAAAGACAGUUUACUGUUUUGAGGAGGAAACUGUACUAUACACCACUCAACACAGUUAGCUGGCUAGCUUGCUAGCUUGUUGCUAACCAAAGAAGAAGACUGUAGCCUAAAUGUAACAUUGGCCCAAAUACAGAUAGAGAUAUGAAUAUUUGGAGCACUAAACAGAUACAGACCCAGAUUGGGACAUUGUGUUACCCCUAGUCUUUAUAUUAAUACACUUAAGACGACAAAAAAUUCAUGGCACUAAAGUUUUCGAGGUCUGUGUGUAAAUACACACCUUCUACACUGAACAAACGAAUUCCUCAUAGCAGUUUUGAGCAACAAUUUCCCCCCAGCAUGCCUGGGAAAUGAGUACCGAGCCUGAUCUAAUGACAGAUAGGUGCUUGCUUAUGAAAAGCCCUUGAAGGACAGACUUCUGCUUCCCUUCCUCUCUACCUUCCCCCCCACUCUCAGCUCUGCCCUGCAAAUUACAGUCUAUUCCUCGCAGAAGAUUUCCAGGUGUUUCACCUGUGUAACAAUCUGUUACAUCUGUAAUAAACCGGAAUCUACAGAGGCUAAUUGUAGCAUUCCUUUUAUGCUGAGGUGGAUGACAGAGCAGGCAGUAAGGACACAGUACAAAAGAUAACAACAGGGAGAGCUCACAGAGUCUGAGUGCCGCCAGGCUCACGCCACUGCCUGUGUGUGUGAGAAUCAUCAGCUAUCGCCCGGUGCCUGGCCAUUAGCCAGUGCUCGACCUAAGGCUGUAGACAGACAGGUCCAUGAACAAGGGCAUUAUUUUCAGCAGAGAGCCAUCGGGGAGGCACUGAGGCACUGUGCCACAGGAUGACAGACAUGAGGAAAAAAAACUAGCCGUGUUUGUAGGUCCGACAUAAAGCAUUCCACUCUACCUAAUAUCAUGUUACAGUGGGGAGGAAAAAAAAGAACCAAAAAAAAAAAAAGAACCAUUGCAGGGUAAAUUGUGAUCAACGCACAAAGCCGUAUCUUAUUCUGGUAGCAGGAUUCCAGUUGUCCAAAACUGCAUUAUUUAGCAUGAAGUAAGCGUGAUAAAAAAAUUCUUACUAUUCAAAUGGGAUAAGAUUUACAGAUACGUCUGUUAAAUAAUGUUGUCGGAGGAUGUCUGCAGUAACCAUUUCGCAUGGGUUCAGCAGUCACACACACACACAAAAAAAAUCAUGCAUACUAUGUGCACAACCUGAUUAUGUGACCUUUAUUAUAAUAAGUGCUUGUUGAUCAUUGAUCACAUGGUCAUAUAAUGUAUGUUGGCAUAACUGUACUGAGCCUAUUUAAUCUUUUUUUUUUUAGGUCCAAAUUUUGCAUAUUUUCUCUUUCGGACAAACACCGAAGGUUUAGAAGAGCACUUUCGGAAUUUCUCCAGUAGCAUCCGUACUAAAUUGAUGCUAAAUAUAUAGUUGUUGAGCAAGUUAAACACACAACGACAGGUUUUAUUUCACAUUAACAAACUCAAACCUUUCUCCAUUUUAUUCUGACAGAAAGCAAGGGCACAAUAAGCUUGAAAAAUGAUUCGAGCAGGCUUAGACAGUCUUUCAUUACCUUCACUAAUACUCAGGUAGACAACACAAAAAUCUUCCUAUGGGUUUUGUGUAGAAGGUUUACAUAAGGGAUGAAGUUAUUUCCUCUCCUUCUCCAAGUCAAGCUAAACAAGGACUGGUUUGUUUUUUUGAACAUGGAGGAACAUGAAUAAAAACCAUAAAUUAAGAAGAAGAAAGGAAACUAAAGAAAAGACAGGCCUGGUCUGGAUCUUAAUCUUCCUCAAACUGCCACAUGCCACUCUGACAUCAUCUAUCUUUGUGGUAUUUCACAGAGGAAACCAUGCUCCAAAUUUCAACCACAGCUCAAAGAGAUUAAUGAAAGAGAAGCACAGUGGAAGAACCCUCAAAAUUUACCUAAGCAAAAUAAAUAAAUAAAUAAAAGUUUGAUUAGGCAAAAAAGUUUAAAGUUAGUUUCACCUGACCAUGAUAACAGGUGUUUCAGAUCUAUACAUCUGAAUACAUUUCCCAGUUGAUGAGGCUGUCCAUAAUGUAUGGUCCAUAAAAAAUUUA